CUCUCCUCCCUGGACCUCUCCCCUGCCGUCCUGCAACUUGUCACUGCUUGCCUUUCUUCCAUCUCGGACUGCCGUCCUGCCACGUGUCACUGCUUGCCUUUCUUCCAUCUCUGACUAGAUGUCCUCCUGCUUUCUGAAACUCAAUCUCUUUAAAAAUGAGCUCCUUGUCCUUCCUCCUCCUAAUACUGAUCCUCCUCUUUCGCUCUCCCUUCAAGUUAGUGGUAUCCACAUCACUCCAUCCUUGCAAGCGUGCUGUCUUGGCAUCAUACUUGAUUCUGGCCUCACCUUUGGGCCUCACAUCCAGUAAGUUGCCAAAUCCUAUAAAUUCCAUUUUAAAAACAUAGCCCGCAUCCGCCCCUUUCUUACCCAAGAUGCAACCAAGGAGCUUGUCCAUGCUCUAGUAAUUUCCUGUAUGGAUUAUUGUAACCCUCUCCUAAUUGGUCUUCCCAAAAGCCAUAUUGCCCCGCUACAGUCUGUAAUGAAUGCUGCCGCCAGACUGAUUUUCCUCUCUAGUUGGUCCUCUCACACCUCACCCCUCUGUCAGUCCUUACAUUGACUUCCUGUAUCCUAUAGGAGUCAGUUCAAAGUGCUAACCCAUACCUAUAACGCGCA
This is a non-coding RNA of Pelobates cultripes (western spadefoot toad), 612 nucleotides long. The record is from the annotation of a GenBank genome assembly. Lineage: Eukaryota; Metazoa; Chordata; Amphibia; Anura; Pelobatidae.